This 446-nucleotide ribosomal RNA is filed under the name uncultured Rothia sp. RNAcentral's name for it is "bacterial SSU rRNA". It matches the Rfam family "Bacterial small subunit ribosomal RNA", at positions 338 to 795 of the family's 1533-position model. Lineage: Bacteria; Bacillati; Actinomycetota; Actinomycetes; Micrococcales; Micrococcaceae. The record is from RNAcentral.
CCUACGGGUGGCAGCAGUGGGGAAUAUUGCACAAUGGGCGCAAGCCUGAUGCAGCGACGCCGCGUGAGGGAUGACGGCCUUCGGGUUGUAAACCUCUGUUAGCAGGGAAGAAGAGAGAUUGACGGUACCUGCAGAGAAAGCGCCGGCUAACUACGUGCCAGCAGCCGCGGUAAUACGUAGGGCGCGAGCGUUGUCCGGAAUUAUUGGGCGUAAAGAGCUUGUAGGCGGUUUGUCGCGUCUGCUGUGAAAGGCCGGGGCUUAACCCCGUGUAUUGCAGUGGGUACGGGCAGACUAGAGUGCAGUAGGGGAGACUGGAAUUCCUGGUGUAGCGGUGGAAUGCGCAGAUAUCAGGAGGAACACCGAUGGCGAAGGCAGGUCUCUGGGCUGUAACUGACGCUGAGAAGCGAAAGCAUGGGGAGCGAACAGGAUUAGAUACCCCAGUAGUC